Caenorhabditis elegans is the source of this 21-nucleotide non-coding RNA. NCBI's taxonomy places the organism in Eukaryota, Metazoa, Nematoda, Chromadorea, Rhabditida, Rhabditidae. The record is from Ensembl.
UGAUGACUCUGUAACGUCGCA